Molecule: long non-coding RNA, 240 nt
Organism: Danaus plexippus (monarch butterfly)
Lineage: Eukaryota; Metazoa; Arthropoda; Insecta; Lepidoptera; Nymphalidae
Exons: 3
Source: RefSeq, a predicted model, not a curated record
GAACGGUUUUUAUAAAUGAAUCGCGAAUUAAUUUUAGUGUUAAAUGGAACAAUCUUUGUCGUCGUUUUAUGAGCCCGACUGUUCAGGAACAGUUCAGUGUUGUGUCAGUUUCGAGAGACACUUGCGGAUUGGAACCUGACGGCGUGAAUGCAGGAAAUGAGGUGUACUUCCUGCAGACCGUCGCAUCCGCUGUUACCGAUACAAAGAAAGACAAUCGUGAACGCAUUCAGUAAUGAGGCC